UUGUGCAAAAAAUUAAAUUUUUUAAAAUUUAUUUUAUUUAAAAUAUAAAAAUAGUUUUUUUCUAAAUUUUUAUAGAAUGUGAUUGUGUAUGUUAACUUAAUAAGUUUUAAUUAAUUAUAAUUAUUAAAUUUGAUUAAAAACAAUGAGAGAAUCGUUUAAAUUUUUAAAGUUUGAUUUACAUAUUAAAAUUAAAUAAAUUAAAAAUUUUUAAAUGUGCCGAUUAAUAAGUUGAAGAAUUAUUGAAAAAUUUAAAAAUAUUAUAUGUUUCUAUUUAUUUAUUUAUAAAUAGUAAGUUUGAAUGAUUAAUAAAAUUAUACAAUUAUUUUAUGCAUAGUGAAGGUAAUUUCACCACUCUAUCUGAAGAGGUGACAAAAUUCACAAAUGCAACUAUCAUUUUCAUAUUACCAAACAGAAAAAAUGUAACUACAGCAGUUGCAACUGUAUAAAACCAAACAGACUAGGUGUAGUUACAACUACAGCAUUUGCAACUGCAUGUAUUUCCAGCUACACUGUUUCUGCAACUACAUCCAACCAAACGGACCCUAAUUGUUAGUGUCAACAAUUCAACAAGUGGUAUUAGAACAAGAGGUCACGGUUCGAUUCCCGCAUGCUGCGAAUGUGCAUGUCCAGAUAGUAGAGUAGGGAUUGCUAGUUUAAAUGAGCCAGCAUCAUGCCUUUUGGCUGGAGGCUAGAUUGGACCAAGUGGCGUGAGACUGAUUCGGCCGAGUCACAAUCGAGAUUUAUGAGCGCUAUUUUUGUACACUUUAAAUGUAUUUCUAAUAGAUCAAGCUUUUGAAAUGAAUGAUUAGCGCCGACAAUCCGACAUCAUAUACGCUCAUUUUGAAAUUUUCAUGUUU
RNAcentral lists this long non-coding RNA (857 nucleotides) under Ananas comosus (pineapple). Its description in RNAcentral is "long non-coding RNA (ACOM_LNC003931)". Lineage: Eukaryota; Viridiplantae; Streptophyta; Magnoliopsida; Poales; Bromeliaceae. The record is from RNAcentral.